Molecule: ribosomal RNA, 253 nt
Filed under: uncultured bacterium
Lineage: Bacteria
Description: partial 16S ribosomal RNA
Rfam family: Bacterial small subunit ribosomal RNA
Source: RNAcentral
GACGUAGGGCGCGAGCGUUGUCCGGAUUUAUUGGGCGUAAAGAGCUCGUAGGCGGCUUGUCGCGUCGUCCGUGAAAACUUGGGGCUCAACCCCAAGCUUGCGGUCGAUACGGGCAGGCUAGAGUUCGGUAGGGGAGACUGGAAUUCCUGGUGUAGCGGUGAAAUGCGCAGAUAUCAGGAGGAACACCGGUGGCGAAGGCGGCAUCCUGGACCGGCAUUGACGCUGAGGCGCGAAAGCCAGGGGAGCAAACGGG